This 277-nucleotide unclassified non-coding RNA is filed under the name Hevea brasiliensis (rubber tree). The record is from RNAcentral. Lineage: Eukaryota; Viridiplantae; Streptophyta; Magnoliopsida; Malpighiales; Euphorbiaceae.
UGGGUUUUCUAUUGCUCUCAAGCCCUAAUGGAUGUCUGCCUGUUCUUGAAUCAUUGUUUGAAAUAACACAUUUGAUUUUUUUUUUCCCUGGGUGACUCUUGGAAGGGAGUGUCAAUAAGUCGUUCCGCAGAAGCAUGUUUGUAUUAUUGCAAUGACUGUGGAUGGAUUUGUGUUAAUGCCUAGGCUUUACCACGGUCUUCUAUUUCUCCCUUUUUCCUCUACUUUUCCUUCGUUGAGUUUCGAGGCAUGUUAUUAACUUCACAAUUGCAUAUCACCC